This 885-nucleotide ribosomal RNA is filed under the name Teloganella sp. BYU IGCEP161. Its description in RNAcentral is "eukaryotic LSU rRNA". It matches the Rfam family "Eukaryotic large subunit ribosomal RNA", at positions 713 to 1519 of the family's 3401-position model. The record is from RNAcentral. Lineage: Eukaryota; Metazoa; Arthropoda; Insecta; Ephemeroptera; Ephemerellidae.
GGCGUAUUUGAACGAAAAGGCUGGCCUCGUGUCGGNUGAGGGAAGAUGGAGGCUCGCUCGCGGGCCUCUCGCAUUCCCGGGGCGUCUCGUCCUACUUCCGCUCGUCGGUCGAAGGUGAGGCGCACCAAGAGCGCACACGUUGGGACCCGAAAGAUGGUGAACUAUGCCUGGCCAGGACGAAGUCAGGGGAAACCCUGAUGGAGGUCCGUAGCGAUUCUGACGUGCAAAUCGAUCGUCGGAGCUGGGUAUAGGGGCGAAAGACUAAUCGAACCAUCUAGUAGCUGGUUCCCUCCGAAGUUUCCCUCAGGAUAGCUGGUGCUCAUUGAACCGAGUCCCAUCCGGUAAAGCGAAUGAUUAGAGGCCUUGGGGUCGAAACGAUUUCAACCUAUUCUCAAACUUUAAAUGGGUGGGAACCGCGGCUUGUUUGUGUGCCUAAAGCCGCGGACCUUGGAUCGGAGUGCCCAGUGGGCCACUUUUGGUAAGCAGAACUGGCGCUGUGGGAUGAACCAAACGCCGGGUUAAGGCGCCCGAACCAACKCUCWUUCGAAACCAUGAAAGGUGUUGGUUGYUUAARACAGCAGGACGGUGGCCAUGGAAGUCGGAAUCCGCUAAGGAGUGUGUAACAACUCACCUGCCGAAGCAACUASCCCUGAAAAUGGAUGGCGCUUAAGCGUUGUGCCUAUACCCSGCCGCCGGUGGCAGAAGGUGGGYGCUUUCGGGCGCUCGCCGUGAAGCCCCGGUGAGUAGGAGGGUCGCGACGGUGAGCGCAGAAGGGUCUGGGCGUGAGCCUGCCUGGAGCCACCGUCGGUGCAGAUCUUGGUGGUAGUAGCAAAUACUCCAGCGAGGCCCUGGAGGACWGAUGUGRAGAAGGGUUCCGUGUGAACA